AUGCUCUUCAGAUUUGCAAUUGCCAUGGAAAAGGAAGCGUCAAAUUUCUUGUACAUUAAAUGCUAUGCUCUUCAGAUUUGCUGAGAUUUCCUUUGAAGAUGGUCUAGUAAGCCCAAGUACAUU
Molecule: small nucleolar RNA, 123 nt
Organism: Benincasa hispida (wax gourd)
Lineage: Eukaryota; Viridiplantae; Streptophyta; Magnoliopsida; Cucurbitales; Cucurbitaceae
Product: small nucleolar RNA snoR77
Source: RefSeq, a predicted model, not a curated record